AUGAUCCACUUGACAAGUUGUUUGCUGGUGUGCUUGAUAUCUACAGGGAACUAUGUUGCAGCUCAUCAGACAGCCCAGAGAACUUUGCCUCCAGAAGUGUGGCCACCCCAGUUUGUGUGGUCUGGUCCGCCUGUUGAAUGGUUUCCUACAGAAGCGCUUGAAGGUCAAAAACCACGCAGCAGUACUCGAGUUUAUAGCCCAAAGUCGUUCAACCCAGAUCGGCUCCGCAGUGCAAACGCUUUAAACCCUAAUGAUGGCAGCAAAUAUCCGCACAAGAAACCUCAGACUUAUAAUUCAGUGGCCAGCCCAAAGACAUUUAGCAUACAGUUUAAUGCUCCUACCGCAAACGAAGGACAUGACCAUUCACAGUCAUCGACCUAUCCCAACAAACGCCCGCAAGAUGCUUCAAAGCCUGGUUUUCAUUUAAGCUUUUCUCUGCCUCUUCCUACAACCACUGCAGCACCACCAUCUACCACCAGUGCGGCCAAUGCUGGAGUUUCAUAUUCAGGGCCCUCACAGAACAAAUUUUUUCAUAAUCCCUUUAAAGUUCCAGAGGUAAAUAAGUCAUCGUAUAUCUCACCAGUUGCUCAGAUGCAACAGGGUAAGAUUUUUCAUAAUCCUUUUAAAGUGCCAAAGGUAAAUAAGCCAUCAGAUCUCACACCAGUUGCUCAGAAACCACCGCAAAGCAAGUUGGUAUCAUUCUUAAACGAGCUGCUUGUUCAGAGAGGACAGAGUAAUGCCCAAACACAACACAACAAAGUGGUUUUCAAACCAUUGGAACCACAACAGUCCUCACAAAGUCAAAGUGGGCCUUUCUCAAGUCAAAGCCCAAACAACCUCUGGAUGGGUCACACGCACUUUGGAGUUUCCAGUGAUUCAGGAAGUGGCGCCCAGACUCCUGUCCAUCAAGCUGUCCAAAACACUGUAAACGUUCCCCCUCAGUGGCACCAAAUUAACAAGCCACCAUUUUCCGACGAAGAUGUGAAAAAGGAUAUUUUACAGUCUGUGCAAUAUGUGAACGGUCAACUAAUGAUUCCUCUGGAGAAGUGCCCAUGUUAUGAAAAAUUAGCAACUUUAAAAGGUCAUGUUCACCAACACGUGCCCCCUCCCCGCGGUCACGUUCACCAGCAUGGGUUGCCUCCCCGCGGUCACGUUCACCAGCAUGGGUCGCCUCCCCACGGUCACGUUCACCAGCAUGGGUCGCCUCCCCAUGGUCGCGUUCACCAUCACGGGCCGUCCUCUUCACCUAGUGACCAAAUACAGACCCAACCAAAUUAUGACCAGUUUUUAAAUGUACAAGGCACGGCCCAGAGUCCCAUUGAACCACUACAAGAAACAAAUGUCCAGCUGUCCAGAGUGUAUCAAGAAAAUCCGUUCAGGCGGUGGCAACAUUCAUUGUCAAGAGGACCCCAAUAUCCAAAGCCUCAUCAAACCUAUACAUCGUAUGUGCACGAGGAGCCUGAUCAGCAGCAGUCUGGGUCAAACUACAUGGUGCAACCUGACGCCCAAAGUCAGUACUGAUGUCUUCUCUGGCUCCAGAAGCAAAAGUUGGCGGGAUCCAUAUUAAACAAAUUCCCUACUCCAUUAAAGUGAACAUUUGUACUACUUUGACGCAUACUUGUCUUGUUCUCUUACUGACUUAACUUGUGUAUCACACUCAAACAUUUGGUAAGCAAUUUUAAAUCCCAUGCCUGGGGGAAAAAAUACUGUUCACAAAUUAUAAAACAUAUUUGAGGAUUGAUCCUAAAACUGGCAGGUCUGUUGCAGUAAAAACUCCUUGUUUUGAGUUUGGUCUUAGAGAAAUAAAAUUUUAACUGUUUAUUAAAUGGUGAUGGAGUGGAAAUAAUUUGUUUUUAAACUGAAGUAUAUUUUGAAAUGCCUUCAUGGCCCAAAAAAGGGAAUCCAUCUUUGCCAUAUUGCCCCAUCCUAACCUGCUUUUCGUUAUAGGUGGGCACGGGAGUUAUUUGGAUUUUAAUACACUUGAAAGUGCACUAUGCAACUUAAGGAAAAAACAUUUCAUAUUGAACCUUUGUGCUUAACUUCAAAACUCAGCCAAGAUAUUACAUGGGGAGGGACAGGUUACUACAUAGAAAAUAAAGAUCAAUCUUAAUACACGUACUGAAUGGUCCACAUUGUAAAUGAGGUCUGUGCGGUAUUGGCCGUUAAAAUUUAGAAAUCAAACUUUUGUUUUGGCUGAAAAGGCCUGAAAAUGGCACCUAAUACAGAAAAGGUCAUGUGAUUAAAAUCUAUCAAGAUGGACCAUUAAAUAUGAAUAAAACUCUUCUUCUGGAGCCAAUUAUCUAACUUUAUUCUUCCUGGUUAAACACUUGCCCCUAAGCUUUUAGCAUAAUAUCCCAAGACUCCAACAAAAAAGAAAUGCGUCAUACUCCGUGUCUGUUUUACAAUCUUUUUAUAUGAAACAAUUUAACAAAUAUGCUACAUUGACGAACUAUAUACAACUUGACUUGAAGCUGGGAGAGAUAAAAUGUUCCUUCAGGCAUCGGUCAAUGUGACAGCUCCUGACUUUAAUUCAAAUCCUAAUGAAAACUCCGGUGUAAAAUAAACACAGCUUGCGAAACUGACACAUCUGAAAAACACCUGUGCUUCACCUUUUGGAUCGUGAUGACAAAAAAAC
This is a long non-coding RNA of Neogobius melanostomus (round goby), 2635 nucleotides long. The record is from Ensembl. NCBI's taxonomy places the organism in Eukaryota, Metazoa, Chordata, Actinopteri, Gobiiformes, Gobiidae.